GACGAACGCUGGCGGCGUGCCUAAUACAUGCAAGUUGAGCGCUGAAGGUUGGUACUUGUACCCACUGGAUGAGCAGCGAACGGGUGAGUAACGCGUGGGGAAUCUGCCUUUGAGCGGGGGACAACAUUUGGAAACGAAUGCUAAUACCGCAUAAAAACUUUAAACACAAGUUUUAAGUUUGAAAGAUGCAAUUGCAUCACUCAAAGAUGAUCCCGCGUUGUAUUAGCUAGUUGGUGAGGUAAAGGCUCACCAAGGCGAUGAUACAUAGCCGACCUGAGAGGGUGAUCGGCCAACAUGGGACUGAGACACGGCCCAAACUCCUACGGGGGGGAGCAGUAGGGGAACUUCGGACAUUGACGAAAGGCUGACCGAACAACGCCGCGGGAGUGAAGAAGGUUUUCGGAUCGUAAAACUCUGUUGGUAGAGAAGAAAGUUGGGGAGAGUGGAAAGCUCAUCAAGUGACGGUAACUACCCAGAAAGGGACGGCUAACUACGUG
Molecule: ribosomal RNA, 497 nt
Filed under: uncultured bacterium
Lineage: Bacteria
Description: partial 16S ribosomal RNA
Rfam family: Bacterial small subunit ribosomal RNA
Source: RNAcentral